RNAcentral lists this ribosomal RNA (501 nucleotides) under uncultured bacterium. RNAcentral's name for it is "partial 16S ribosomal RNA". It matches the Rfam family "Bacterial small subunit ribosomal RNA", at positions 30 to 523 of the family's 1533-position model. The record is from RNAcentral.
AUUGAACGCUGGCGGCAGGCUUAACACACGCAAGUCGAGCGGAGAUGAGGUGCUUGCACCUUAUCUUAGCGGCGGACGGGUGAGUAAUGCUUAGGAAUCUGCCUAUUAGUGGGGGACAACAUUCCGAAAGGAAUGCUAAUACCGCAUACGUCCUACGGGAGAAAGCAGGGGAUCUUCGGACCUUGCGCUAAUAGAUGAGCCUAAGUCGGAUUAGCUAGUUGGUGGGGUAAAGGCCUACCAAGGCGACGAUCUGUAGCGGGUCUGAGAGGAUGAACAGCCACACUGGGACUGAGACACGGCCCAGACCCCUACGGGAGGCAGCAGUGGGGAAUAUUGGACAAUGGGGGAAACCCUGAUCCAGCCAUGACGCGUGUGUGAAGAAGGCCUUAUGGUUGUAAAGCACUUUAAGCGAGGAGGAGGCUACUGAGACUAAUACUCUUGGAUAGUGGACGUUACUCGCAGAAUAAGCACCGGCUAACUCUGUGCCAGCAGCCGCGGUAA